Molecule: non-coding RNA, 176 nt
Organism: Acidobacteria bacterium 13_1_40CM_56_16
Lineage: Bacteria; Pseudomonadati; Acidobacteriota
Source: Rfam
UACUAGACAAACACGCUGAAUGCACGGGAAGGCGGUGAAAAUCCGCCACUGCCCCGCAACUGUAAGCGGUACAAAACAGUCGAGCGUUCGUCACUGCAUCGCAAAGCGCAUGUGGGAAGGCGAGCGCGACACAGGCACCGCAAAGUCAGGAGACCGGUUCAGCGGAAACAUGGGAA